GAUGAAGAACGCAGCGAAAUGCGAUAAGUAAUGUGAAUUGCAGAAUUCAGUGAAUCAUCGAAUCUUUGAACGCAUCUUGUGCUCCUUGGUAUUCUGAGGAGCAUGCCUGUUUGAGUGUCAUUAAAUUCUCAACUACACUGACUUUGAAUUGGUGUGGCUUGGAUUUGGGGGGAAAAUUGUUGUGGGCUUUUUGUAUAGUCUGCUCCCCUGAAAUUGAUUAGCGGUACCUUUGUGGAACUGUCUACAGGUGUGAUAAUUAUCUACAUCUUAGACAUCUGCUGGAAUGCUGCUCUCUAAACCUUACUUGUAUUGACAAUCUUGACCUCAAAUCAGGUAGGACUACCCGCUGAACUUAAGCAUAUCAAUAAGCGGAGGA
This 376-nucleotide unclassified non-coding RNA is filed under the name soil metagenome. RNAcentral's name for it is "partial contains 5.8S ribosomal RNA, internal transcribed spacer 2, and large subunit ribosomal RNA". The stretch from base 1 to 120 matches the Rfam family "5.8S ribosomal RNA", at positions 35 to 154 of the family's 154-position model. The record is from RNAcentral.